UACGUAGGGUGCGAGCGUUAAUCGGAAUGACUGGGCGUAAAGAGUGCGUAGGCGGUAAAUCAAGUCUGAUGUGAAAGACCUGGGCUUAACCUGGGGAUGUCAUUGGAUACUGAGGUACUAGAGUGCGUUAGAGGGGGGUAGAAUUCCACGUGUAGCAGUGAAAUGCGUAGAGAUGUGGAGGAAUACCGAUGGCGAAGGCAUCCCCCUGGGAUGACACUGACGCUGAGGCACGAAAGCGUGGGUAGCAAACAGG
Molecule: ribosomal RNA, 253 nt
Filed under: uncultured bacterium
Lineage: Bacteria
Description: partial 16S ribosomal RNA
Rfam family: Bacterial small subunit ribosomal RNA
Source: RNAcentral